This 783-nucleotide ribosomal RNA is filed under the name Triticum aestivum (bread wheat). RNAcentral's name for it is "partial small subunit ribosomal RNA". The record is from RNAcentral. Lineage: Eukaryota; Viridiplantae; Streptophyta; Magnoliopsida; Poales; Poaceae.
AUGGAUACCAGUGCAACAAAUCAUAUCACGGGAGAAAUGGAGAAACUAACAGUGCAUGAGAAGUAUCGUGGCAAUGAUCAAGUCUACACUGCGGCAAACGGUGCAGGUAUGGAGAUAAGUCAUAUUGGUCAAUCACAUAUCAAAACCCCAUACAAAAACCUUGAAAUAAAAUAUAUCUUGCAUGUGCCUAAUGCUUCCAAAACUCUCUUAUCUGUUCAUCGCAUUGCCCUUGUUAACAAUGUCUUUCUAGAAUUUCACCCUUUCUUCUUUUUGAUCAAGGAUCAGGUCACGAAGGAAAUUCUCCAUAGGGGUGUCUGUGUGGAAGGACUCUAUGCAUUACUUCCUAAGUAUUUCUCAUACAAUAAAAGAGUUUAUGGUGCCAUCAAGCUUCCCGCUGAAAGGUGGCAUAGUCGCUUCGGUCAUCCAUCAUUUGCUACUAUUCAUCAAAUCCUUAGUAAAAAUAAACUCCCAGUUGUUGGUGAGAGAAAUUUAGAGACUCUUUUUGAUUCAUGCCAGCGAGCAAAAAGUCAGCAAUUGCCAUAUCCUGCAUCCACUAGUGUGUCAACCAAGCCCUUGCAGCUUAUCUUUUCUGAUGUAUGGGGUCCAGCCCCUACUUCUGUUGGUCGACAUUCUUACUAUGUAAGCUUUAUUGAUGAUUUUAGUAAGUACACAUGGACCUAUUUGCUCAAAAAGCGUUCUGAUGUCUUUCAAGUAUUUCAUAAUUUUCAAGCUCUUGUAGAACGCAAGUUUGAUAGUAAAAUCAUUGCUAUGCAAUCUGACUAG